Molecule: transfer RNA, 54 nt
Filed under: Archeophylla schusteri
Lineage: Eukaryota; Viridiplantae; Streptophyta; Jungermanniopsida; Jungermanniales; Pseudolepicoleaceae
Description: partial tRNA-Leu
Source: RNAcentral
GACUUAAAAUCCGUUGGCUUUAUAGACCAUGAGGGUUCAAGUCCCUCUACCCCC